Molecule: long non-coding RNA, 757 nt
Filed under: Daphnia magna
Lineage: Eukaryota; Metazoa; Arthropoda; Branchiopoda; Diplostraca; Daphniidae
Description: uncharacterized LOC116934199, transcript variant X3
Source: RNAcentral
UUCCAUUGCUUCAGAUUGUGCUUCUAUUUGUUUUGGUGAUAGAAAGGAUAUCUUCGCUUUGCCUUUGCCUUAUUGUCGUCGUCUUCACCCCUGCCUCAUCGUUUCCGUCUUUACCUUCACCCCACCGUCUUAGUACCUUGCCUCAUCAUCGUCGUCUUCGCCUUUGCCUCAUCAUCGUCGUCUUCGCCUUUGCCUCAUCAUCGUCGUCUUCGCCUUUGCCUCAUCGUCGUCGUCUUCGCCGGUCGGUUAAGCAGGAAAAACCUAAAGCUGAGGGAUGAUACAUUUGUUUCUUGUUACUAGUUUUGUAAACAAACGGUUAAUUGGUAAAAUGAAACAACACAUGACCUAUUGCUUUAGAUCAAUUGUUUUCACAAAUGGAGAUAUAUUACACAAUCUUCAGCUUCCCAGGCAGACACCCACCCACAAAACCAGGGGAAUCAGAAAACAAUGUGAGGAAUCUGAUAUUCUAGCCCUGGAAACCCCAGGUGCCUUUAUGCUUCAACAAGGCUAUAAAGCAAUUAUAAUUUCAGGUAGGUCGAAAGGUGGAGAGAAAAGAUGUUCGCGAUGGGCAAUUCGAGAUCCAAGUAGAAACGUAGUGCCCAUUGUUAAAGGCUUAGAGACUCGGCAAAUGGUAUUACUGACCCAUGGUGACAGCGUUAACAAGGUUGCAGAAGGGUUGCGUUGCGCCCAAUGUAUAGUUGAACACAUACUAUGAUGAUAAAUUCUGCUCACUUUAAAUAAAAUAGUUUACAGUGUA